CUGAUACUUCUUUCGUUCCAAAAUUCUUGUCUUAGAUUUUUUUAGAUAUAAAUGCAUCUAGAUACUAAAACAUGACAAGAUGCAUCCACAUUUAGAAAAAUUCAAGACGAUAAUUUUGAGACGGAGGAAGUACUUA
This is a non-coding RNA of Hordeum vulgare subsp. vulgare (domesticated barley), 136 nucleotides long. NCBI's taxonomy places the organism in Eukaryota, Viridiplantae, Streptophyta, Magnoliopsida, Poales, Poaceae. The record is from Rfam.